RNAcentral lists this long non-coding RNA (680 nucleotides) under Pan troglodytes (chimpanzee). RNAcentral's name for it is "lncRNA (ENSPTRG00000053005.1)". Lineage: Eukaryota; Metazoa; Chordata; Mammalia; Primates; Hominidae. The record is from RNAcentral.
GCUGUCCUGAUACUGCCUGGGAGUGCCUCCUGUGUGAGUCCUAAAAAACUCAUCUCCUUACCAAGCUGGGCUUGUCCCAGGCAUUCUUUGGCCCCUCAGCUCCCUCACAGCUUGAGGGUAUGUUACAGCCCCACGUUUUUCUUGUAACACAUAGCCUGUGCCCUCCUUUCCCUCCAGCCUCCCCUGGGGAGUGAGCUUUGAGCUGACCCUUGCCUGGGUGGCUUUUCUCUAAGCAUCAGGAAUGUCCUGAGCAUCCUGCCCAACGGUCACAGGCUUGACAGACCUCCGGACAUUUGGCCAGGACUUCAAUUUUCAGAUUUAAUUUCAAACCAAAUCACUCCCAUCACUAUUGUAUUCUAGUGUUGUAUGAACACUCUGAAGAAAGGAUGUCUGCACACACUCUGAUUUUGUACCUGGGGAAACAGGCUCAGGCCAAGUCCAUGCCUUCCUCAUGGUCACUGCGUUGGAAGCCCCAUGCACGGUCUCAGGUGAGCAGCUCAGCUCCCACAGAGGGGCAAUAACAGGACCAGUGACUGCAUCCUCGCCUUCCAGGCGACGUGGCCGCAGCACCCACUGUGAGGCCAGGAAACCUUCGUGACCUGUGGGGCACUGGCAGGUGAGGAGAGAAGGGCCUGGGAGUCGCAUUCUCUGCAUCGCCUGAGCACAGGGGAUCUUCCAGG